RNAcentral lists this ribosomal RNA (301 nucleotides) under uncultured bacterium. RNAcentral's name for it is "partial 16S ribosomal RNA". It matches the Rfam family "Bacterial small subunit ribosomal RNA", at positions 509 to 808 of the family's 1533-position model. The record is from RNAcentral.
CAGCCGCCGCGGUAAUACGUAGGUCCCGAGCGUUGUCCGGAUUUAUUGGGCGUAAAGCGAGCGCAGGCGGUUAGAUAAGUCUGAGGUUAAAGCCUGUGGCUUAACCAUAGUACGCUUUGGAAACUGUUUAACUUGAGUGCAAGAGGGGAGAGUGGAAUUCCAUGUGUAGCGGUGAAAUGCGUAGAUAUAUGGAGGAACACCGGUGGCGAAAGCGGCUCUCUGGCUUGUAACUGACGCUGAGGCUCGAAAGCGUGGGGAGCAAACAGGAUUAGAUACCCCCGUAGUCCCUGUCUCUUAUACC